This 29-nucleotide small RNA is filed under the name Bombyx mori (domestic silkworm). RNAcentral describes it as "ovarian small RNA-31899". Lineage: Eukaryota; Metazoa; Arthropoda; Insecta; Lepidoptera; Bombycidae. The record is from RNAcentral.
UGACUAUGCAUAGAUGGCCAUCAAUAUAU